RNAcentral lists this ribosomal RNA (506 nucleotides) under Intrasporangiaceae bacterium C58. RNAcentral's name for it is "bacterial SSU rRNA". It matches the Rfam family "Bacterial small subunit ribosomal RNA", at positions 1 to 522 of the family's 1533-position model. Lineage: Bacteria; Bacillati; Actinomycetota; Actinomycetes; Micrococcales; Intrasporangiaceae. The record is from RNAcentral.
UGGAGAGUUUGAUCCUGGCUCAGGACGAACGCUGGCGGCGUGCUUAACACAUGCAAGUCGAACGGUGACGCUAGAGCUUGCUCUGGUUGAUCAGUGGCGAACGGGUGAGUAACACGUGAGUAACCUGCCCUUGACUCUGGGAUAACUCCGGGAAACCGGGGCUAAUACCGGAUACGAGACGCGACCGCAUGGUCGGCGUCUGGAAAGUUUUUCGGUCAAGGAUGGACUCGCGGCCUAUCAGCUUGUUGGUGAGGUAAUGGCUCACCAAGGCGUCGACGGGUAGCCGGCCUGAGAGGGCGACCGGCCACACUGGGACUGAGACACGGCCCAGACUCCUACGGGAGGCAGCAGUGGGGAAUAUUGCACAAUGGGCGAAAGCCUGAUGCAGCGACGCCGCGUGAGGGAUGAAGGCCUUCGGGUUGUAAACCUCUUUCAGUAGGGAAGAAGCGAAAGUGACGGUACCUGCAGAAGAAGCGCCGGCUAACUACGUGCCAGCAGCCGCGGUA